AAGGUUACUUGUUAGUUCAGGAUCUCAUUAUCUUUUGCCUGAACUAUAGGAGUAGCCUCUU
RNAcentral lists this microRNA precursor (61 nucleotides) under Otolemur garnettii (small-eared galago). Its description in RNAcentral is "microRNA oga-mir-872 precursor". Its record names the gene oga-mir-872. It matches the Rfam family "mir-872 microRNA precursor family", at positions 11 to 69 of the family's 81-position model. The record is from miRBase by way of RNAcentral. Lineage: Eukaryota; Metazoa; Chordata; Mammalia; Primates; Galagidae.